UGAUGCUCAAGGUCUCUAGAGAAGGCAAAGGUGUGGUCUGGAAGAUGAGACUGCUGAGUUUUCUUCUGUGCUUGGUGACAACUCCCCAAGGUGUCCUGUCCCAGGUGCAGCUGCAGGAAUCAGGGCCUGACUUGGUGAAACCUUCGCACACCCUGUCCCUCACCUGCACCGUGUCUGGAUUCUCUAUUACAACCAGUGGUUACUGCUGGCACUGGGUCCGCCAGGCCUCAGGGAAGGGCCUGGAGUGGGUGGGAGCCAUAUGUGCUUCUGGCAGCACUUACUACAGCCUGUCCCUAAAGAGCAGAGUGACCAUCACCAAAGACACAUCCAAGAACCAGUUCUCUGUACAAAUGAACUCUGUGGUCUCUGAAGACACAGCCGUGUAUCACUGUGCAAGAGACACAGUGAGGGAAUGUUAG
Molecule: non-coding RNA, 419 nt
Organism: Heterocephalus glaber (naked mole-rat)
Lineage: Eukaryota; Metazoa; Chordata; Mammalia; Rodentia; Bathyergidae
Source: the annotation of a RefSeq genome assembly